Molecule: ribosomal RNA, 769 nt
Filed under: uncultured archaeon
Lineage: Archaea
Description: bacterial SSU rRNA
Rfam family: Archaeal small subunit ribosomal RNA
Source: RNAcentral
UCGGUUGAUCCUGCCGGAGGUUACUGCUAUCGGUGUUCGCCUAAGCCAUGCGAGUCAAAUGUAGCAAUACAUGGCAUACUGCUCAGUAACACGUGGAUAACCUGACCUUGGGACCGGAAUAACCCCGGGAAACUGGGGAUAAUACCGGAUAACGAAUAUGUGCUGGAAUGCUUUAUCCGUAAAAUGGAUACGUCUGCCCAAGGAUGGGUCUGCGGCCUAUCAGGUAGUAGUGGGUGUAAUGGACCUACUAGCCGACAACGGGUACGGGUUGUGAGAGCAAAAGCCCGGAGAUGGAUUCUGAGACAUGAAUCCAGGCCCUACGGGGCGCAGCAGGCGCGAAAACUUUACAAUGCGGGAAACCGUGAUAAGGGGACACCGAGUGCCAGCAUCAUAUGCUGGCUGUCCAGGUGUGUAAAAUACACCUGUCAGCAAGGGCCGGGCAAGACCGGUGCCAGCCGCCGCGGUAACACCGGCGGCCCGAGUGGUAAUCGUUAUUAUUGGGUCUAAAGGGUCCGUAGCCGGUUUGGUCAGUCCUCAGGGAAAUCUGAUAGCUUAACUAUUAGGCUUUCUGGGGAUACUGCCAGACUUGGAACCGGGAGAGGUAAGAGGUACUACAGGGGUAGGAGUGAAAUCUUGUAAUCCCUGUGGGANCACCUGUGGCGAAGGCGUCUUACCAGAACGGGUUCGACGGUGAGGGACGAAAGCUGGGGGCACGAACCGGAUUAGAUACCCGGGUAGUCCCAGCCGUAAACNAUGCUCGCUAGGUGUC